GAUGAAGAACGCAGCAAAAUGCGAUAAGUAAUGUGAAUUGCAGAAUUCAGUGAAUCAUCGAAUCUUUGAACGCACAUUGCGCCCGCUGGUAUUCCGGCGGGCAUGCCUGUUCGAGCGUCAUUUCAACCCUCGAGCCCCCGGGUUUGGUGUUGGGGAUCGGCUCUGCCCUUCUGGGCGGUGCCGCCCCCGAAAUACAUUGGCGGUCUCGCUGCAGCCUCCAUUGCGUAGUAGCUAACACCUCGCAACUGGAACGCGGCGCGGCCAUGCCGUAAAACCCCAACUUCUGAAUGUUGACCUCGGAUCAGGUAGGAAUACCCGCUGAACUUAAGCAUAUCAAUAAGCGGAGGA
RNAcentral lists this unclassified non-coding RNA (348 nucleotides) under soil metagenome. Its description in RNAcentral is "partial contains 5.8S ribosomal RNA, internal transcribed spacer 2, and large subunit ribosomal RNA". The stretch from base 1 to 120 matches the Rfam family "5.8S ribosomal RNA", at positions 35 to 154 of the family's 154-position model. The record is from RNAcentral.